UACGUAGGGUGCAAGCGUUAAUCGGAAUUACUGGGCGUAAAGCGUGCGCAGGCGGCUUUGCAAGAUAGAUGUGAAAUCCCCGGGCUUAACCUGGGAACUGCAUUUGUGACUGCAUGGCUGGAGUGCGGCAGAGGGGGAUGGAAUUCCGCGUGUAGCAGUGAAAUGCGUAGAUAUGCGGAGGAACACCGAUGGCGAAGGCAAUCCCCUGGGCCUGCACUGACGCUCAUGCACGAAAGCGUGGGGAGCAAACAGG
This 253-nucleotide ribosomal RNA is filed under the name uncultured bacterium. RNAcentral's name for it is "partial 16S ribosomal RNA". It matches the Rfam family "Bacterial small subunit ribosomal RNA", at positions 524 to 776 of the family's 1533-position model. The record is from RNAcentral.